AGAGUUCGAUCAUGGCUCAGGAUGAACGCUGGCGACGUGCUUAACACAUGCAAGUCGAACGGAGUCUGCUUUGUGAAGUUUUCGGACGGAACGGAACAGACUGAGUGGCGGACGGGUGAGUAACGCGUGGGUAACCUGCCUCAUACAGGGGGAUAACAGUUGGAAACGACUGCUAAUACCGCAUAAGCGCACGGAACCGCAUGAUUCUGUGUGAAAAACUCCGGUGGUAUGAGAUGGACCCGCGUCUGAUUAGCUAGUUGGAGGGGUAACGGCCCACCAAGGCGACGAUCAGUAGCCGGCCUGAGAGGGUGACCGGCCACAUUGGGACUGAGACACGGCCCAA
Molecule: ribosomal RNA, 343 nt
Filed under: uncultured bacterium
Lineage: Bacteria
Description: bacterial SSU rRNA
Rfam family: Bacterial small subunit ribosomal RNA
Source: RNAcentral